UACAGAGGUCUCAAGCGUUGUUCGGAUUCCUUGGGCGUAAAGGGUGCGUAGGCGGCGCGGUAAGUCGGGUGUGAAAUCUUGGAGCUUAACUCCGAAACUGCAUUCGAUACUGCCGUGCUUGAGGACUGGAGAGGAGACUGGAAUUUACGGUGUAGCGGUGAAAUGCGUAGAUAUCGUAAGGAAGACCAGCGGCGAAGGCGGGUCUCUGGACAGUUCCUGACGCUGAGGCACGAAGGUCAGGGGAGCAAACGGG
RNAcentral lists this ribosomal RNA (253 nucleotides) under uncultured bacterium. Its description in RNAcentral is "partial 16S ribosomal RNA". It matches the Rfam family "Bacterial small subunit ribosomal RNA", at positions 524 to 776 of the family's 1533-position model. The record is from RNAcentral.